This 1954-nucleotide ribosomal RNA is filed under the name human gut metagenome. RNAcentral describes it as "bacterial LSU rRNA". It matches the Rfam family "Bacterial large subunit ribosomal RNA", at positions 3 to 1980 of the family's 2925-position model. The record is from RNAcentral.
UUAAGUAAGGAAGGGCGUACGGCGAAUGCCUGGCCACUCGAAACUGAAGAAGGACGCGCCAAACUGCGAAAAGCUCCGUGAAGCUGUAAGGAAGCGAAGAAGCGGAGGUGUCCGAAUGGGGGAACCCGGCAGCAGACAUGAGCUGUCAUCUGCAGGUGAAUACAUGGCCUGCAAGAGAGGUACCCGGCGAACUGAAACAUCUAAGUAGCCGGAGGAAAAGAAAACAACAGUGAUUCCCUGAGUAGCGGCGAGCGAAAGGGGAGAAGCCCAAACCGGUCCAAGGACCGGGGUUGAAGGACCAUGAUAUGGCAAGAGAGAGGAUAGAAGAACGGGAUCGAAAGCCCGGCCGAAGAAGGUGCAAGCCCUGUAAUUGAAAUCCGAUCGAAGCCUAAUGGGAUCCUGAGUACGGCGAGACACGAGGAAUCUUGUCGGAAGCAGGCGGGACCAUCCGCCAAGGCUAAAUAUAAACGAGUGAGCGAUAGUGAACCAGUACCGUGAGGGAAAGGUGAAAAGAACCGCGGGAGCGGAGUGAAAGAGAACCUGAAACCGUAUGCCUACAAGAAGUCAGAGCCCGUUAAGGGGUGAUGGCGUGCCUUUUGUAGAAUGAACCGGCGAGUUGCGACAGACUGCGAGGUUAAGGAGGAAAGACCGGAGCCGAAGCGAAAGCGAGUCUUAAUAGGGCGAAAGUAGGAUGUUGCAGACCCGAAACCGGGUGAUCUAGCCAUGAGCAGGUUGAAGUUGAGGUGAAACUCAAUGGAGGACCGAACCGACUACCGUUGAAAAGUUAGCGGAUGACUUGUGGCUAGGGGAGAAAUUCCAAUCGAACCCGGAGAUAGCUGGUUCUCCCCGAAAUAGCUUUAGGGCUAGCGUCGGAAAGAACCUUAGUGAAGGUAGAGCACUGAAUGUGUGAUGGCCCCAUCCCGGGGUACUGAAUACAAUCAAACUGCGAAUGUCAUUAAGGAUGUCCGGCAGUCAGACUGUGAGUGAUAAGGUCCAUGGUCAAGAGGGAAACAGCCCAGACCGCCAGUUAAGGUCCCAAAAUACAGGCUAAGUGGAAAAGGAUGUGGGGAUGCCCAGACAACUAGGAGGUUGGCUCAGAAGCAGCCAUCCUUUAAAGAGUGCGUAACAGCUCACUAGUCGAGUGACCCUGCGCCGAAAAUGUACCGGGGCUAAGCCUGAUACCGAAACUGCGGAUUGUAGGAAACUAUAGUGGUAGGGGAGCGUUGUAUACGAGUAGAAGCCGUACCGUGAGGAGCGGUGGAUUGUAUAGAAGUGAGAAUGCCGGUGUGAGUAGCGAGAUGUAGGUGAGAAUCCUACACACCGAAAGCCCAAGGAUUCCAGGGGAAGGUUCGUCCGCCCUGGGUAAGUCGGGACCUAACGCGAGGCCGAAAGGCGUAGUGGAUGGAAAGCAGGCGAAAGAUUCCUGCACCCGUAUAUGGAGCGAAGGAGUGACGGAGACGGAUAGUGUGACCCUCUUAAUGGAUUGAGGGCGAAGCGAAGCGGCUGGUUACCAGGCAAAUCCGGUAACCAUAAGGCUAGAGCGUGAGAGGUAAGCGAAAUCUUCGGAAAGUAGCGAAGCACAUGAUGACGGCUUCCAGGAAAAGCUUCUGGCAAUGCAUAUGCGGCCCGUACCAAAACCGACACAGGUGGGCAGGGAGAGAAUCCCGAGGUGAGCGAGAGAACUGUUGCCAAGGAACUCGGCAAAAUGACUCCGUAAGUUAGCGAGAAGGAGUGCUUAAGCAAUUAAGCCGCAGUGAAGAGGCCCAAGCGACUGUUUAACUAAAACACAGCUCUCUGCGAAGUCGCAAGACGAAGUAUAGGGGGUGACACCUGCCCGGUGCUGGAAGGUUAAGAGGAUCUGUUAAGAGCGAUCUGAAGCAGUGAUCCGAAGCCCCAGUGAACGGCGGCCGUAACUAUAACGGUCCUAAGGUAGCGAAAUUCCUUGUCAGGUAAG